This 485-nucleotide ribosomal RNA is filed under the name uncultured bacterium. RNAcentral describes it as "partial 16S ribosomal RNA". It matches the Rfam family "Bacterial small subunit ribosomal RNA", at positions 28 to 523 of the family's 1533-position model. The record is from RNAcentral.
GAUGAACGCUGGCGGCGUGCUUAACACAUGCAAGUCGAACGAUGAACCGGGUGCUUGCACUCGGGGAUUAGUGGCGAACGGGUGAGUAACACGUGAGCAACCUGCCCCUGACUCUGGGAUAAGCGCUGGAAACGGCGUCUAAUACUGGAUAUGUCCCGUCACCGCAUGGUGUGCGGGUGGAAAGAUUUUUCGGUUGGGGAUGGGCCCGCGGCCUAUGAGCUUGUUGGUGAGGUAAUGGCUCACCAAGGCGUCGACGGGUGGCCGGCCUGAGAGGGUGACCGGCCACACUGGGACUGAGACACGGCCCAGACUCCUACGGGAGGCAGCAGUGGGGAAUAUUGCACAAUGGGCGGAAGCCUGAUGCAGCAACGCCGCGUGAGGGAUGACGGCCUUCGGGUUGUAAACCUCUUUUAGCAGGGAAGAAGCGAGAGUGACGGUACCUGCAGAAAAAGCACCGGCUAACUACGUGCCAGCAGCCGCAGUAA